GCCCCGUUCGUCUAGUGGCCUAGGACUCCGGAUUUUCAUUCCGGCAACAGGAGUUCAAUUCUCCUACGGGGUGCCA
RNAcentral lists this transfer RNA (76 nucleotides) under Candidatus Cloacimonadota bacterium. RNAcentral's name for it is "tRNA-Glu". It matches the Rfam family "tRNA". From Rfam's summary of the family: Transfer RNA (tRNA) molecules are approximately 80 nucleotides in length. The record is from RNAcentral. RNAcentral also lists the same sequence under 1 other name. Lineage: Bacteria; Pseudomonadati; Candidatus Cloacimonadota.